UACGGGGGGGGCAAGCGUUGUUCGGAAUUACUGGGCAUAAAGGGUGCGUAGGCGGUUUGUUAAGUCACUGGUGAAAGUUUUCGGCCCAACCGGAAAAUUGCCUGUGAUACUGGCGAACUUGAGUGCGUGAGGGGUGGGGGGAACGAGCAGUGUAGCGGUGAAAUGCGUAGAUAUCAGGAGGAACACCAGUGGCGAAGGCGGGUCUCUGGACAGUUCCUGACGCUGAGGCACGAAGGUCAGGGGAGCAAACGGG
Molecule: ribosomal RNA, 253 nt
Filed under: uncultured bacterium
Lineage: Bacteria
Description: partial 16S ribosomal RNA
Rfam family: Bacterial small subunit ribosomal RNA
Source: RNAcentral